RNAcentral lists this transfer RNA (71 nucleotides) under Caulophacus iocasicus. RNAcentral describes it as "tRNA-Ala". Lineage: Eukaryota; Metazoa; Porifera; Hexactinellida; Lyssacinosida; Rossellidae. The record is from RNAcentral.
GGGAUUUUAGUUUAAAAAAAACCAUAAUAUUGCUAAUUAUAAAUAUAGAUAAAUAAUACCUAUAAAUUCCA